Molecule: ribosomal RNA, 274 nt
Filed under: uncultured bacterium
Lineage: Bacteria
Description: partial 16S ribosomal RNA
Rfam family: Bacterial small subunit ribosomal RNA
Source: RNAcentral
AUACGGAGGGUGCAAGCGUUACUCGGAAUCACUGGGCGUAAAGCGCGCGCAGGCGGGCUGAUACGUUGGAUGUGAAAGCCUACGGCUCAACCGUAGAACUGCAUCCAAAACUGUCAAUCUAGAGUGUGGGAGAGGAAGAUGGAAUUAGUUGUGUAGGGGUAAAAUCCGUAGAGAUAACUAGGAAUACCAAAAGCGAAGGCAAUCUUCUGGAACACUACUGACGCUGAGGCGCGAAGGCGAGGGGAGCAAACAGGAUUAGAAACCCUAGUAGUCC